AGAGUUUGAUCCUGGCUCANAACGAACGCUGGCGGCGUGGAUAAGACAUGCAAGUCGAACGAGGUUAUCUUUGUAGCAAUACGAAGGUAGCCUUAGUGGCGCAAGGGUGCGUAACACGUGGGUCAACCUGCCCUGGGGUAUGGGAUAGCCCGCCGAAAGGCGGAUUAAUACCGUAUGUGGCUACCAAAUGCAUAUUUGGGACGCUAAAGUCGCUGCAAGGUGACGCUCCGGGAUGGGCCCGCGGCCUAUCAGCUAGUUGGUGAGGUAACGGCUCACCAAGGCUAUGACGGGUAGCUGGUCUGAGAGGACGACCAGUCACACUGGAACUGAGACACGGUCCAGACACCUACGGGUGGNAGCAGUCGAGAAUUUUUCUCAANGGGGGAAACCCUGAAGGAGCGACGCCGCGUGGAGGAUGAAGGUUUUCGGAUUGUAAACUCCUGUCAUUGGUGAACAAAGCCUUGGGUUAACUGCCUAAAGGUUUGCUAGUAGCCGAAGAGGAAGGGACGGCUAACUCUGUGCCAGCAGCCGCGGUAAUACAGAGGGUGCAAGCGUUAUCCGGAUUCACUGGGUUUAAAGGGUGCGUAGGCGGACUUGUAAGUCCGUGGUGAAAUCUCCGAGCUUAACUCGGAAACUGCCAUGGAUACUAUGAGUCUUGAAUGUUGUGGAGGUUAGCGGAAUAGUUCAUGUAGCGGUGAAAUGCUUAGAUAU
RNAcentral lists this ribosomal RNA (711 nucleotides) under uncultured Rhizobium sp. Its description in RNAcentral is "bacterial SSU rRNA". It matches the Rfam family "Bacterial small subunit ribosomal RNA", at positions 8 to 697 of the family's 1533-position model. Lineage: Bacteria; Pseudomonadati; Pseudomonadota; Alphaproteobacteria; Hyphomicrobiales; Rhizobiaceae. The record is from RNAcentral.